UCGAAUUGUGGAUCUAGGCACCGACGGCAUC
RNAcentral lists this non-coding RNA (31 nucleotides) under Mus musculus (house mouse). Lineage: Eukaryota; Metazoa; Chordata; Mammalia; Rodentia; Muridae. The record is from RNAcentral.